RNAcentral lists this ribosomal RNA (301 nucleotides) under Haemophilus sp. CCUG 60358. RNAcentral describes it as "partial 23S ribosomal RNA". It matches the Rfam family "Bacterial large subunit ribosomal RNA", at positions 2645 to 2925 of the family's 2925-position model. Lineage: Bacteria; Pseudomonadati; Pseudomonadota; Gammaproteobacteria; Pasteurellales; Pasteurellaceae. The record is from RNAcentral.
CCGUGGGCGUUGGAGAAUUGGUUGGGGCUGCUCCUAGUACGAGAGGACCGGAGUGGACGCACCACUGGUGUUCCGGUUGUGUCGCCAGACGCAUUGCCGGGUAGCUAAGUGCGGAAGAGAUAAGUGCUGAAAGCAUCUAAGCACGAAACUUGCCAAGAGAUGAGUUCUCCCAGAUUACAAAUCUGUAAGGGUUGUUUAAGACUAAGACGUAGAUAGGUCUGGUGUGUAAGCGGUGCGAGCCGUUGAGCUAACAGAUACUAAUUGCCCGAGAGGCUUAACUAUACAACGCUCAAGGGUUUUG